GAUGAACGCUAGCGGCAGGCUUAACACAUGCAAGUCGAGGGGCAACACGGGUAGCAAUACCUGGUGGCGACCGGCGCAAGGGUGCGUAACGCGUGAGCAACAUGCCCUAUACAGGGGGAUAAUCCAGGGAAACUUGGUCUAAUAUCCCAUAGUAUUUAGAGGUGGCAUCACCACUAAAUUAAAGCUUCGGUGGUAUAGGAUUGGCUCGCGUGACAUUAGCUUGAUGGUGGGGUAACGGCUCACCAUGGCGAUGAUGUCUAGGGGUUCUGAGAGGAAGACCCCCCAACUGGGACUGAGACACGGCCCAGACUCCUACGGGAGGCAGCAGUGAGGAAUAUUGGACAAUGGAUGGAAAUCUGAUCCAGCCAUGCCGCGUGCAGGGAAGACGGCCCUAUGGGUUGUAAACUGCUUUUAAUGGGAGCAAUAAGGUUUACGCGUAGACCGAUGAGAGUACCAUAUGAAUAAGCAUCGGCUAACUCCG
RNAcentral lists this ribosomal RNA (481 nucleotides) under uncultured bacterium. Its description in RNAcentral is "bacterial SSU rRNA". It matches the Rfam family "Bacterial small subunit ribosomal RNA", at positions 28 to 505 of the family's 1533-position model. The record is from RNAcentral.